This is a long non-coding RNA of Stylophora pistillata, 2691 nucleotides long. Lineage: Eukaryota; Metazoa; Cnidaria; Anthozoa; Scleractinia; Pocilloporidae. The record is from RefSeq and is a predicted model, not a curated record.
GCUCUUAUUUUGGCCCUCACCCUAUAUUGUAGGGAUUCUGGGCAUGUUCUGCAAGGCAUUUGGCUGAUAAACGUCAAUUUAUCCGAUUAUAGUGUUCCAUUUCGAGCUCGAUUGGUGUUAAUCGAGGUGGAUUACACAGGAAAAAAUUUAAGAUUCCAAGUUGGAAUAACAUUGGUAAAUAUGUCGUAUGAUAAUCCGACGUUGGCAUAUUAUUGGUUAUUUUUAAGGCUACCAAUAUUAUACCAAUGAUGUACCAAAAAAUGUAAAUUUAGAUAUGCCAACAUAGGUACUUUAUUGGAUAAUAAUAAAUUAUUAUUGGUAAACCUAACAACACCCAUACCAAUAAUGGAAGAUUAUUGGAAUUCCUGAACACCUUUACCAAUAAGAUACCAAUGGUAUACCAAUUUCAAUCAACAUUUAACUGUAACAUCUGCCAAUAUUGGUAUUUCAGUGGAUAAUGAUUGGGAGUUCUAUCAAGAUACAUACCAAUAAUGGAAGAUUAUUGGAAUUCCCGAACACAUUUACCGAUAAGAUAACAAUGGUACACCAGUUUAGGUGAACAUUUCACUAUAAGAUCUGCCAAUAUUGGCAUUUCAUUGGAUAAUGAUUGGGAGUUCAAGCAAGAUACAUACCAAUAAUGGAAGAUUAUUGGAAUUCCUAAACACAUAUACCAUGAGGUACCAAUGGUAUACCAUUAUUGAAUUCAAUGGUAGACACAUGUAGCGAAUUGGAAGCAGGUAAUGAUGGCCUGGACAUGUGGAAGACGAAAUAUGUUAAAUGUGAGUUUUGUUAGAAGCCAGAAUGAGUAAUACGUCGCAUUACUCUGCUACUGAAUAACCUGCAUUGCGCACCAUCGAUCCUGCAUAGUUCUUGGUAAUUUGCACAAGCUAACUUUUCAAUUCAAGUCUGUUUUGCUCUCACAAAUGUAACUUAGUAGUUUCUACGUGUUAUUAACUCAGGCUGGACUGUGGAGGACAUGAAGAACUGGCUCACUUUCCAGGGAUUUAAAGAGGUAGCAGCCCUUUUUUCAAGUAAGCUAAAACUAGCUGCGGUAUUUAAGCUUACUAAGCUGAAGCUUAAGUCUUAAUAAGCUUACAUGUACAAGUAACUUCACAAUUUCCUGGAACUACAUAUUCCUAAGAAUAAAUAAGUAAAUAAAUAAGUAAGUCUUUUUGUCAUAGCCUGUGAGCUCGCAGGCCAAUAAGUCAAUAUUUAAUUUGUGACCAUCUGUUGCUAAUUUGGCUUUUCCUAAGUUGUACUUAUGGAGACAAUUUUUUGAACAGAUAUUCUGGCAGUGUUCAUCACCAUUUUUUCUGGAUUGUUUGGGAAGCUAACUUGGUUUACAAUGUUUUUCAAAUAAUUUUUUAACUACCCAUACAAAUUGUAAGAAUCACAAGCACUUUACUACCAACAUUUGAGGGUAGCCUGGAGUCACAUUUUACCUUUUGCAGCAGGGGUACUAAAGCAUUUGAGAGUAAUGCAUGGAUGCUUUCUAAAUGCUGCAUGUAACAUUCUACAGCCACAUAGCUAGAAUUUCUUCACAAACAAUUUUCCUUUUGCCCUUCAAUUCAUGACUUUUCCAAAAAAUGGUUAACAAAAACUGCUCCAAGGUUUGCUAAGGUUUCUACACGUUCAUUAUUGUUGUUGAUUUCAAAUAAUUGCUUUUCUCCACUGAAAACAGGCUGAACACACACCUGAAAAGAGGGCCAAAAAGUCCUGCUCUGGAUCUAGGGCUGAGUCAACAUGUAAUACAGCAGAGUAAGAUGAACUAGAUUUUGGCCCUGCUGACAAAGUAAGCAGCUGCAAAGCAAGUUCGAGCCUGGAUGAUAUCACCACAAAAAGUGCUGCUAUUGUAGUUCUAACUUUUCUUGAAGUUAAAUCAAUGCAAGAUGUUACAGUUGUAAAGCAUCUUUAUCCUCUAGCCAAGAAAUUAACUGUCAAAUAUCGUUCAUUGGGAAAAUAUCAAUUAUCCUUGAAGAUAGCAAAAGCACUUAUCAGUCAAGGCUACAUUGAGGUCAGAAGUCCUGUGGAAGGUGUUGAGGUUAACUUCUUGAAUCUUAAGAGAGAUAUUGUGUGCAAAAAGAAGGAUCAACUUAAGAGUAAUUAUCCAGACCUAGAGGAGUAUGAUGAUAAUGGAGACACAGACUCAAUAACCACUGACUCUUCUUUUCCAACCUAUUCUAGUGGUUUUGAAGUCCCUUAUACUUCUUAAUGUGGAGACCAUAAAUGCCUUGUUCCAGUUAAAUUGACAAAUGUCUUGUUUUCAAAAUUCAAUGGUGUGUUAAAAGCAAGGAAGAUAGCCCAGUUAUCUUGCUGAAGGGGAAGUAAUAUUGUAUUUGGUUUAAAUCAGUUGGUAAGAGAGGUCCUCCUUAAAGGGCUUAAAAUUUGAAGCUUAUAGACUUGGAAGAUGUGUUUUUUUGAAGCACAUUUUGUUUAAAUGUGUGCAUUUUACUUACAAUGCAUGUUAUUAGUUACCAACAUAUUUCCAAAAUGUUGGAAUUGUUUAUUUUAAUGUAUAAGUGCCACACUGCUAUACAUAUGCAUGUAACUCAUUUUUAUCACAGAUUUUAAAGAAAUGGUUUCCACAAAUAUCAAGGAUAUUUCUCUUUGUUGGAAACUAAACCUUGCUUCCCAUCUUACUAACUAGUAAUUUUCCAUUGUUGGUACAUAAUAAAAGAUUACUUUUACCAA